GAAGCAUCCAUUUAGCCCG
This 19-nucleotide unclassified non-coding RNA is filed under the name Mus musculus (house mouse). RNAcentral's name for it is "oocyte_clustered_small_RNA9328". The record is from RNAcentral. Lineage: Eukaryota; Metazoa; Chordata; Mammalia; Rodentia; Muridae.